This 466-nucleotide ribosomal RNA is filed under the name uncultured bacterium. Its description in RNAcentral is "partial 16S ribosomal RNA". It matches the Rfam family "Bacterial small subunit ribosomal RNA", at positions 339 to 795 of the family's 1533-position model. The record is from RNAcentral.
CUACGGGGCGCACCAGUGGGGAAUAUUGGACAAUGGGGGAAACCCUGAUCCAGCAAUGCCGCGUGUGUGAAGAAGGCCUGCGGGUUGUAAAGCACUUUCGGUUGGGAGGACUGCUUCUAGCACUAAUAUUGUUGGAAGUUGACGUUACCUUCAGAAGAAGCACCGGCUACCUCCGUGCCAGCAGCCGCGGUGAAUACGGAGGGUGCAAGCGUUAAUCGGAAUUACUGGGCGUAAAGCGCGCGUAGGCGGCUAGAUCAGUCGGGUGUGAAAGCCCCGGGCUUAACCUGGGAACUGCAUCCGAUACUGUCUAGCUUGAGUACAGGAGAGGAGAGUGGAAUUCCACAUGUAGCGGUGAAAUGCGUAGAUAUGUGGAGGAACACCAAUGGCGAAGGCAGCUCUCUGGCCUGAUACUGACGCUGAGGUGCGAAAGCGUGGGGAGCAAACAGGAUUAGAUACCCCUGUAGUC